Molecule: ribosomal RNA, 1421 nt
Filed under: Bacillus halotolerans
Lineage: Bacteria; Bacillati; Bacillota; Bacilli; Caryophanales; Bacillaceae
Description: bacterial SSU rRNA
Rfam family: Bacterial small subunit ribosomal RNA
Source: RNAcentral
AUACAUGCAAGUCGAGCGGACAGAUGGGAGCUUGCUCCCUGAUGUUAGCGGCGGACGGGUGAGUAACACGUGGGUAACCUGCCUGUAAGACUGGGAUAACUCCGGGAAACCGGGGCUAAUACCGGAUGCUUGUUUGAACCGCAUGGUUCAAACAUAAAAGGUGGCUUCGGCUACCACUUACAGAUGGACCCGCGGCGCAUUAGCUAGUUGGUGAGGUAAUGGCUCACCAAGGCGACGAUGCGUAGCCGACCUGAGAGGGUGAUCGGCCACACUGGGACUGAGACACGGCCCAAACUCCUACGGGAGGCAGCAGUAGGGAAUCUUCCGCAAUGGACGAAAGUCUGACGGAGCAACGCCGCGUGAGUGAUGAAGGUUUUCGGAUCGUAAAGCUCUGUUGUUAGGGAAGAACAAGUACCGUUCGAAUAGGGCGGUACCUUGACGGUACCUAACCAGAAAGCCACGGCUAACUACGUGCCAGCAGCCGCGGUAAUACGUAGGUGGCAAGCGUUGUCCGGAAUUAUUGGGCGUAAAGGGCUCGCAGGCGGUUUCUUAAGUCUGAUGUGAAAGCCCCCGGCUCAACCGGGGAGGGUCAUUGGAAACUGGGGAACUUGAGUGCAGAAGAGGGAGAGUGGAAUUUCACGUGUAGCGGUGAAAUGCGUAGAGAUGUGGAGGAACACCAGUGGCGAAGGCGACUCUCUGGUCUGUAACUGACGCUGAGGAGCGAAAGCGUGGGGAGCGAACAGGAUUAGAUACCCUGGUAGUCCACGCCGUAAACGAUGAGUGCUAAGUGUUAGGGGGUUUCCGCCCCUUAGUGCUGCAGCUAACGCAUUAAGCACUCCGCCUGGGGAGUACGGUCGCAAGACUGAAACUCAAAGGAAUUGACGGGGGCCCGCACAAGCGGUGGAGCAUGUGGUUUAAUUCGAAGCAACGCGAAGAACCUUACCAGGUCUUGACAUCCUCUGACAAUCCUAGAGAUAGGACGUCCCCUUCGGGGGCAGAGUGACAGGUGGUGCAUGGUUGUCGUCAGCUCGUGUCGUGAGAUGUUGGGUUAAGUCCCGCAACGAGCGCAACCCUUGAUCUUAGUUGCCAGCAUUCAGUUGGGCACUCUAAGGUGACUGCCGGUGACAAACCGGAGGAAGGUGGGGAUGACGUCAAAUCAUCAUGCCCCUUAUGACCUGGGCUACACACGUGCUACAAUGGACAGAACAAAGGGCAGCGAAACCGCGAGGUUAAGCCAAUCCCACAAAUCUGUUCUCAGUUCGGAUCGCAGUCUGCAACUCGACUGCGUGAAGCUGGAAUCGCUAGUAAUCGCGGAUCAGCAUGCCGCGGUGAAUACGUUCCCGGGCCUUGUACACACCGCCCGUCACACCACGAGAGUUUGUAACACCCGAAGUCGGUGAGGUAACCUUUAGGAGCCAGCC